This is a non-coding RNA of Maribacter dokdonensis DSW-8, 65 nucleotides long. NCBI's taxonomy places the organism in Bacteria, Pseudomonadati, Bacteroidota, Flavobacteriia, Flavobacteriales, Flavobacteriaceae. The record is from Rfam.
UAUAUUUGCGCCCUGAUUGAAAAACAAUCACAUACAUAAAAAUCAUUUAAAACAAUAUUGGAAUG